RNAcentral lists this long non-coding RNA (230 nucleotides) under Lathyrus oleraceus (garden pea). RNAcentral describes it as "Pisum sativum (pea) long non-coding RNA (PSAT_LNC029502)". Lineage: Eukaryota; Viridiplantae; Streptophyta; Magnoliopsida; Fabales; Fabaceae. The record is from RNAcentral.
UUAAAUAAAGUAAAGCAUGGAAAGAAAUUAAAUAAAGUAAAGCGUAGACAGAAAUAAAACAAAGUAAAGCGAGACAGAAAUUAAAUAAAGUAAGGCGUAGACAGAAAUUAAAUAAAGUAAAGCGUAGACAGAAAUUAAAUAAAGUAAAGUGAGACAGAAAUUAAAUAAAAGCGAUAAAAUAAGAACCUUCUCCAAACGGAGGCUUUAAAUCUGGUACAAAGAAAAUAAAC